UACGUAGGGGGCGAGCGUUGUCCGGAAUUAUUGGGCGUAAAGAGCUCGUAGGCGGUUCGGCAAGUCGGAAGUGAAAGCUCCAGGCUCAACCUGGAGAGGCCUUUCGAUACUGCCGUGACUAGAAUCCGGUAGAGGAGUGUGGAAUUCCCGGUGUAGCGGUGAAAUGCGCAGAGAUCGGGAGGAACACCAGUAGCGAAGGCGGCACUCUGGGCCGGUAUUGACGCUGAGGAGCGAAAGCGUGGGGAGCAAACAGG
RNAcentral lists this ribosomal RNA (254 nucleotides) under uncultured bacterium. RNAcentral describes it as "partial 16S ribosomal RNA". It matches the Rfam family "Bacterial small subunit ribosomal RNA", at positions 524 to 776 of the family's 1533-position model. The record is from RNAcentral.